AGUGAACGCUGGCGGUAGGCCUAACACAUGCAAGUCGAACGGCAGCACAGUAAGAGCUUGCUCUUACGGGUGGCGAGUGGCGGACGAGUGAGGAAUACAUCGGAAUCUACUUUUUCGUGGGGGAUAACGUAGGGAAACUUACGCUAAUACCGCAUACGACCUACGGGUGAAAGCAGGGGAUCUUCGGACCUUGCGCGAUUGAAUGGGCCGAUGUCGGAUUAGCUAGUUGGCGGGGUAAAGGCCCACCAAGGCGACGAUCCGUAGCUGGUCUGAGAGGAUGAUCAGCCACACUGGAACUGAGACACGGUCCAGACUCCUACGGGAGGCAGCAGUGGGGAAUAUUGGACAAAGGGCGCAAGCCUGAUCCAGCCAUACCGCGUGGGUGAAGAAGGCCUUCGGGUUGUAAAGCCCUUUUGUUGGGAAAGAAAAGCAGCAGGUUAAUACCCCGCUGUUCUGACGGUACCCAAAGAAUAAGCACCGGCUAACUUCGUG
This 492-nucleotide ribosomal RNA is filed under the name uncultured bacterium. RNAcentral describes it as "partial 16S ribosomal RNA". It matches the Rfam family "Bacterial small subunit ribosomal RNA", at positions 29 to 507 of the family's 1533-position model. The record is from RNAcentral.